This 164-nucleotide ribosomal RNA is filed under the name Daviesia ulicifolia. RNAcentral describes it as "5.8S ribosomal RNA". It matches the Rfam family "5.8S ribosomal RNA". Rfam says of the family: 5.8S ribosomal RNA (5.8S rRNA) is a component of the large subunit of the eukaryotic ribosome. It is transcribed by RNA polymerase I as part of the 45S precursor that also contains 18S and 28S rRNA. Functionally, it is thought that 5.8S rRNA may be involved in ribosome translocation. Lineage: Eukaryota; Viridiplantae; Streptophyta; Magnoliopsida; Fabales; Fabaceae. The record is from RNAcentral.
AAAAUGACUCUCGGCAACGGAUAUCUCGGCUCUUGCAUCGAUGAAGAACGUAGCGAAAUGCGAUACUUGGUGUGAAUUGCAGAAUCCCGUGAACCAUCGAGUCUUUGAACGCAAGUUGCGCCCGAAGCCAUUAGGUUGAGGGCACGCCUGCUUGGGUGUCGCAC